This 101-nucleotide ribosomal RNA is filed under the name Stereopsis sp. Its description in RNAcentral is "partial small subunit ribosomal RNA". It matches the Rfam family "Eukaryotic small subunit ribosomal RNA", at positions 1462 to 1563 of the family's 1831-position model. The record is from RNAcentral. Lineage: Eukaryota; Fungi; Basidiomycota; Agaricomycetes; Stereopsidales; Stereopsidaceae.
CUGUGAUGCCCUUAGAUGUUCUGGGCCGCACGCGCGCUACACUGACAGAGCCAACGAGUAUCAACCUUGGCUGGAAAGUCUGGGUAAUCUUGUGAAACUCU